AAUUCAUGAUGGCAUUGUUGGGCUGGCUGUAGCAGGAGCUGCCAAAGAAAUGGGAGUUACUGUCAGAAGAUUUCAUGCCAGGGUGUGGUGAACACUAGUUACAAGCAUUUGCCAAGCAGAAUGGCUACUCAAGCCAGUAGCCUUUAUUCCAAUAACAUCUUGAAAAUAUUAAAGCUGUUUCUCCUGAGAAAGAAUAUUUUCACUUCGAACAAAAGAGGUUAUUGAUCAUGUCAUUAGAAGAAUUUUGGUAAUGAAGGACAUUCUUUACUGCCUCCUCACGGGUUCAUUGACUUAAAAUAUUUUGUCCGAAGGAUCAUCUUCUAUUGAACAUCUAUUUUCUUUGACUAAUGUUGGGCAAUUUGGAUACAAAUGUUAAUGUUUUUAUUACAAACUUCCUGAAAUGAUAACCCAACAGAAACUAAACUGUGCUGUCCAAGAGCAAGACAUCUUUCUACACUGGGCUUUGCCUUGAUUGGAGAAAUUCACACUGUACAUUGAUUUGCUCAGAGCUAACCUGGGUAUAUUUAACUAAACAUUUUGCAAGUGAUGACAGAAUGUGUCUCUGAGUAAAACAUCAUAUUAUCUUGGAUGAUCUAGUAUUUUCCUAAAGAGGGAAAAACAUUUCCUUAAACCACCAACACAUAUGGUCAAAGAGACUAGUACUGGGAGCAAUAAUAUUUUCUCCCAAGGAAGUAUUGUAGAACUCUCUGUGUGGUCUCUGCAUCUUUUAACAAUAUUCAGAUGCAACACUGUGGUCUGUAUUCCUACUAAAGCAGUAAAGGUUGUGAGAAGUCAGUGGGGAAUUUAUUUUGAUGAACUAUUUCUCUAUAUUUGCCCAAGUGGAAUAUUUUUUUUAAUGUAAAAAAAUGUUGUUUGGCACUCCCAUAUGUGUUUGCUGGAUCCUGGGGUCCCCACUUCAUCCUCAGGUUGACAAAGAUUCUAUUAUUCUAAAACCAGUUUUCUGGCAAAAACGUUGUAUACAAGUUCUGCGUGUAAAAGCAUGUGCAGGAAAUGCCUCCUACUGCCAUGGGUGUCAGUGACAUAGCUUCAAC
This is a long non-coding RNA of Pogoniulus pusillus (Red-fronted tinkerbird), 1052 nucleotides long. RefSeq lists it as uncharacterized. The record is from RefSeq and is a predicted model, not a curated record. The transcript is spliced from 3 exons. NCBI's taxonomy places the organism in Eukaryota, Metazoa, Chordata, Aves, Piciformes, Lybiidae.